GUUUGUUUCGCCUCAGAUUUUUUGUAGUUUCCUUCCUUGUAUCGUAUUGUAUGAUUUUAUUUUAUUUUUAUUGGUAGGUCGGGAUAGAUGCUUGUUCAUGGCUUCACAAAGGAGCUUAUUCAUGCAGCAUGGAGCUCUGCCUCAACUCACGGACCGUUGCUGCAAAGCGCCAUUUAAAGUAUUUUAUGCACCACAUCAAUCUGCUUCGGCAUUAUAGUGUCAUACCGGUAGUUGUAUUUGAUGGCUGCAGCAUCCCCUGCAAGUCUGCGACGGAGCAUGAGCGCCACAGGUGAAGGGAAAGCAACCUUAUGCUGGCAAAGGAGAAGCUCAAGGAAGGGAAUGUCAGUGCUGCCGUC
Molecule: non-coding RNA, 356 nt
Organism: Phoenix dactylifera (date palm)
Lineage: Eukaryota; Viridiplantae; Streptophyta; Magnoliopsida; Arecales; Arecaceae
Source: RefSeq, a predicted model, not a curated record